This 258-nucleotide long non-coding RNA is filed under the name Elaeis guineensis (African oil palm). RNAcentral describes it as "long non-coding RNA (EGUI_LNC077316)". The record is from RNAcentral. Lineage: Eukaryota; Viridiplantae; Streptophyta; Magnoliopsida; Arecales; Arecaceae.
UCCUGCUUUUUUUUAUGAUUUUUUGGUUCAUCGGCAGUUUUCCUUCAAGCAAUUAUCUUCAUCUCUCGAAGAAUCACCAUCUUCUCUCUUUUUAUUAGGCUACAGCAGGUUGGUUUCUUUUCUCCCCUCUUUCUGCUUCUUUUUCAUCUAUUUGGUUCAGUUGCCCCCAUGUCUUUAAUGGUGAAUUCUAGUGAAAAUCAUUCUUCUGAAUCACCUCCUUCUUCUUCUAGGGAUAUUUUCGUUAGUGAAGGCGAGGAA